CUAGAAAUGAAUUAUAAAUGUAAUAGAUAGGUUCUACAAAGUGCAUGGACUCGCAAAUUAAAAAAAAAUAUAGGUAUGUUUAAUCGGUGCAAAACAAUAACCUUUCUAUCUGUCACCUAACUAACAUCAAAAGGGUUGUUUUAUAAUUUUUUCUACAGAUGCAAUGUCAUUUAAUCAAAUAGCAAAUCAGACAACACAACAUGUUAACUUGGUUGUAAAUAUUUAAUUCAUGCGGAAGAGUUUCAAAUACAUUUUAUAAAGAAUGUUAAUAUAUUUAAAACACUAUAUACCGAGAUUUUGUUAUAGGAAAAUGAAAGCCAGUGAAUAUAGCUAAACCUUAGUGAUAAUCAUAAGUUAAAGCAAGGCUAUCUCAGGUAGAAGACAUAUACAAAGAGGCAUAACAGACUCUUUGCUACAC
RNAcentral lists this long non-coding RNA (418 nucleotides) under Mytilus galloprovincialis (Mediterranean mussel). Lineage: Eukaryota; Metazoa; Mollusca; Bivalvia; Mytilida; Mytilidae. The record is from RNAcentral.